GCGUUUGCCUCAGUACCACAUUGGCUAAAAUUGGAAUGAUACAGAGAUUACCUUAGCCCCUAAACAAAAUGACAGGUGCUUUCAUGAAGCAGCCCACUAAAUA
This 103-nucleotide small nuclear RNA is filed under the name Microtus ochrogaster (prairie vole). The record is from RNAcentral. Lineage: Eukaryota; Metazoa; Chordata; Mammalia; Rodentia; Cricetidae.